Molecule: ribosomal RNA, 266 nt
Filed under: uncultured bacterium
Lineage: Bacteria
Description: partial 16S ribosomal RNA
Rfam family: Bacterial small subunit ribosomal RNA
Source: RNAcentral
CGACCGGCGCACGGGUGAGUAACGCGUAUGCGACCUGCCCGUUGCAGGGGGAUAAUCGGGAGAAAUCCCGUCUAAUACCGCGUAACGCCGCGGGGCUGCAUGGCCCUGCGGCCAAAGGGAGCGAUUCCGGCAACGGAUGGGCAUGCGUGACAUUAGCUAGUUGGCGGGGCAACGGCCCACCAAGGCGACGAUGUCUAGGGGUUCUGAGAGGAAGGUCCCCCACACUGGUACUGAGACACGGACCAGACUCCUACGGGAGGCAGCAG